This 485-nucleotide ribosomal RNA is filed under the name Veillonellaceae bacterium oral taxon 132. RNAcentral's name for it is "bacterial SSU rRNA". It matches the Rfam family "Bacterial small subunit ribosomal RNA", at positions 28 to 497 of the family's 1533-position model. The record is from RNAcentral. Lineage: Bacteria; Bacillati; Bacillota; Negativicutes; Veillonellales; Veillonellaceae.
GACGAACGCUGGCGGCGUGCUUAACACAUGCAAGUCGAACGGAGCUGUUUAUUUCGGUAAAUAGCUUAGUGGCAAACGGGUGAGUAACGCGUAGGCAACCUGCCCUUAGGAUGGGGACAACGGCCCGAAAGGACCGCUAAUACCGAAUGCACUCUAACUUCCGCAUGGAAGAAAGAGGAAAGAUGGUGCAAGCCAUCGCCGAAGGAAGGGCCUGCGUCUGAUUAGCCAGUUGGUGAGGUAACGGCUCACCAAAGCGACGAUCAGUAGCCGGUCUGAGAGGAUGAACGGCCACAAUGGGACUGAGACACGGCCCAUACUCCUACGGGAGGCAGCAGUGGGGAAUCUUCCGCAAUGGGCGAAAGCCUGACGGAGCAACGCCGCGUGAGUGAAGAAGGUCUUCGGAUCGUAAAGCUCUGUUGUUGGGGACGAAAGGAAAAGGGAGGAAAUGCCCUUUUUAAGACGGUACCCGACGAGCAAGCCACGCA